Molecule: long non-coding RNA, 325 nt
Organism: Arvicola amphibius (Eurasian water vole)
Lineage: Eukaryota; Metazoa; Chordata; Mammalia; Rodentia; Cricetidae
Exons: 4
Source: RefSeq, a predicted model, not a curated record
AGUGAGUCAGAUGCCAUGAUUCUUCGACCUGAGACGGAUGUAGGCUAGGAUCUUCUUGCAAUCAAUUUUCAACUCUUCCAGGGGAUGUUUAUCUACUUGCCUGAUGCUUCAGGCUGUUCGAGAACUUCCAUUUACUGCUGGCCUUCGAGAUCUUUAUCCUUCUCAUUACCAGUUCCACUACAGGGUCACAGGAGAAUAGAGAGUGGGACUGAAGAAUGAGUGACACGAGGAAUUGUCACUAAGUGCCAACUGUGUGGCACUUGAAAGUCUCUGAACAUGGACGGGCUCUGUGUGAGCCUUAACCUCCACCUGGCAAUAGAUGAAG